GGCCUAAUACAUGCAAGUCGAACGGCAGCAGGCUGUAGCAAUACAGUGCUGGCGAGUGGCGCACGGGUGCAUAACACGUAUGUAAUUUGCCCAUAACUGGGGGAUAGCCUUCCGAAAGGAAGAUUAAUACCCCAUAACCCAGCGAGGUGGCAUCACCUUUCUGGUAAAACUCCGGUGGUUAUGGAUAAGCAUGCGUCUGAUUAGCUAGUUGGCGAGGUAACGGCUCACCAAGGCAACGAUCAGUAGGGGGUCUGAGAGGAUGAUCCCCCACACGGGUACUGAGACACGGACCCGACUCCUACGGGAGGCAGCAGUAAGGAAUAUUGGACAAUGGAGGCAACUCUGAUCCAGCCAUGCCGCGUGAAGGAUGAAGGCGCUACGCGUUGUAAACUUC
RNAcentral lists this ribosomal RNA (394 nucleotides) under uncultured organism. RNAcentral describes it as "bacterial SSU rRNA". It matches the Rfam family "Bacterial small subunit ribosomal RNA", at positions 45 to 433 of the family's 1533-position model. The record is from RNAcentral.